GACGAACGCUGGCGGCGUGCUUAACACAUGCAAGUCGAACGGAAAGGCCCCUUUGGGGGUACUCGAGUGGCGAACGGGUGAGUAACACGUGAGUAACCUGCCCUGGACUUCGGGAUAAAUUCAGGGAACUGGGGGUAAUACCGGGGAGGAAUCCUGGCUGCAUGGGGGGGGUUGGAAAGCUUCGGCGGUGUUGGAUGGACUCGCGGCUUAUCAGCUUGUUGGUUGGGUAGUGGCUUACCAAGGCGUUGACGGGUAGCCGGCCUGAGAGGGCGACCGGCCACAUUGGGACUGAGAUACGGCCCAGACUCCUACGGGAGGCAGCAGUGGGGAAUAUUGCACAAUGGGCGGAAGCCUGAUGCAGCAACGCCGCGUGCGGGAUGACGGCCUUCGGGUUGUAAACCGCUUUCAGCAGGGGCGAAGCUUUUGUGACGGUACCUGCAGAAGAAGCACCGGCUAACUACGUG
Molecule: ribosomal RNA, 464 nt
Filed under: uncultured bacterium
Lineage: Bacteria
Description: partial 16S ribosomal RNA
Rfam family: Bacterial small subunit ribosomal RNA
Source: RNAcentral